AUUGAACGCUGGCGGCAGGCCUAACACAUGCAAGUCGAACGGUAACAGGAAGCAGCUUGCUGCUUUGCUGACGAGUGGCGGACGGGUGAGUAAUGUCUGGGAAACUGCCUGAUGGAGGGGGAUAACUACUGGAAACGGUAGCUAAUACCGCAUAACGUCGCAAGACCAAAGAGGGGGACCUUCGGGCCUCUUGCCAUCGGAUGUGCCCAGAUGGGAUUAGCUAGUAGGUGGGGUAACGGCUCACCUAGGCGACGAUCCCUAGCUGGUCUGAGAGGAUGACCAGCCACACUGGAACUGAGACACGGUCCAGACUCCUACGGGAGGCAGCAGUGGGGAAUAUUGCACAAUGGGCGCAAGCCUGAUGCAGCCAUGCCGCGUGUAUGAAGAAGGCCUUCGGGUUGUAAAGUACUUUCAGCGGGGAGGAAGGGAGUAAAGUUAAUACCUUUGCU
Molecule: ribosomal RNA, 449 nt
Filed under: Enterobacter hormaechei
Lineage: Bacteria; Pseudomonadati; Pseudomonadota; Gammaproteobacteria; Enterobacterales; Enterobacteriaceae
Description: bacterial SSU rRNA
Rfam family: Bacterial small subunit ribosomal RNA
Source: RNAcentral